GAGGAGCCCCAGCAGAGCCUGUAGCUUCACUCUGUGAAGUGGCUACAGAAGUGGCACAAAACUCAAGCUUUUGGCAUGCUCAGGAAAGCUCAGAGGACUUUCUCAGUCAAAUCAUAGGGGUGUUUCCCUGAAAAUGCAUCAAAGUAGUUGCAGUAUUUGCACAAAGCUUGUUCUGAUUUGUGUUAGCAUACCCUCUAUGAGAAAUGCUAACUUGUGUUUUGCCAAGAAGCUCAGUGCUCAAAUGAAUCACAGCCAUGUGUUUUCCUUGAGUUGAAAGCUGCACAGUACAGGAGGAAAGUGGAAUUUGACUUUCCAAGUCCAGUCAAACAUUAACCACUUACUAUGAAGCCUUACAGCAGCAUUAACACCAGCUUGAAGGCCGACUGCUCCAAGAUGCAGAAGAAUCACUCUAAAUUUAGCAAAGAGAUCGGAUGCGUUGGUGUGGCACUGAGUGGGUGGGUGACAGCACGAACAGUCAGCGCCGUCCUGCUCGCUGCUCGGCCUGGUCCCCAGUGCCUUCUAGAAAUAAGCUUUCUCAUAACCCCACCACUGGUCCAGUGCUGUCUGUGCUGUGCUGUGGUAAUACCACAAGCUCCUGAAGGAGGUCAGCAGCCAUUAUAGACACCGGACAACUAGCACAUGUCAUGAAAGGUUCUUCCCCCAAUGGCUUCUCACCCAUAAAUGUUAAAAGAGGAGGUAAAAGUGUGUGUAAGAAUGAGAAAAGGAGAGACCACACUGAAUGGCAGCAGGAGCAGAGGUACACCAGUGUGCACAGAGCCAUU
This is a long non-coding RNA of Gallus gallus (chicken), 782 nucleotides long. The record is from Ensembl. NCBI's taxonomy places the organism in Eukaryota, Metazoa, Chordata, Aves, Galliformes, Phasianidae.